GGCCUUAUAUUCAAUUAUGAUUCUAGACUGCAAUUCUAGAGGUGUGAAAUUUUACUAAGGCCU
RNAcentral lists this transfer RNA (63 nucleotides) under Schistocerca cancellata (South American locust). RNAcentral's name for it is "tRNA-Cys". The record is from RNAcentral. Lineage: Eukaryota; Metazoa; Arthropoda; Insecta; Orthoptera; Acrididae.